This 254-nucleotide ribosomal RNA is filed under the name uncultured bacterium. RNAcentral's name for it is "partial 16S ribosomal RNA". It matches the Rfam family "Bacterial small subunit ribosomal RNA", at positions 524 to 776 of the family's 1533-position model. The record is from RNAcentral.
UACGUAGGGUGCGAGCGUUGUCCGGAAUUAUUGGGCGUAAAGAGCUCGUAGGCGGUUUGUCGCGUCGGAUGUGAAAGCCCGGGGCUUAACCCUGGGUCUGCAUUCGAUACGGGCAGACUGGAGUGUGGUAGGGGAGAUCGGAAUUCCUGGUGGUAGCGGUGAAAUGCGCAGAUAUCAGGAGGAACACCGAUGGCGAAGGCAGAUCUCUGGGCCGUAACUGACGCUGAGGAGCGAAAGCAUGGGGAGCGAACAGG